Molecule: long non-coding RNA, 402 nt
Filed under: Theobroma cacao (cacao)
Lineage: Eukaryota; Viridiplantae; Streptophyta; Magnoliopsida; Malvales; Malvaceae
Description: long non-coding RNA (TCAC_LNC003440)
Source: RNAcentral
UUGCUCAAAACCACCAUUCACUCUCAGUCAGGUCAAGAAAGCCAUAGCACCUCACUGUUUCCAGCGCUCUGUUCUGCGCUCAUUCUCUUAUCUUGUUUAUGAUUUUAUCUUGGUCUCUCUCUUCUAUUAUGUGGCUACCGAUUAUUUUCAUCAGCUUCCUCACCCUCUCUCUUAUGUGGCCUGGCCAAUUUAUUGGGCAGUCCAGGGCAGCGUCUUAACUGGUGUUUGGGUUAUAGCACAUGAGUGUGGCCACCAUGCCUUCAGUGAUUAUCAAUGGCUGGAUGAUGCUGUUGGUUUUGUCCUUCACUCAUCUCUGCUUGUUCCUUACUUCUCUUGGAAAUAUAGCCAUCGCCGUCACCAUUCUAACACUGGUUCCCUUGACCGGGAUGAAGUGUUUGUCCC